UAUAAAGAGGAAAAGUUUGAAGAUGCAGCUAAAGUAUUGGAAAUGAUGAAGAAACAUGGGAUUCGACAAGGGGUAAGUACUUAUAAUAUUAGGAUCCAGAGUUUGUGUAAGCUAAAGAGGUCUGUAGAGGCAAAAGCUUUACUUUAUGGGAUGUUGUCUAGGAAAAUGAAGCCAAAUUCUGUUACUUAUUGUAAUUUGAUUCAUGGUUUUUGUAACGAAGGGAAUUUAGAGGAAGCAAAGAGGCUGUUUAACAGUAUGAUUAAUGGAGGGGGAAAACCAGAUGCUGAUUGUUAUUUCACGCUUAUGCACUACUUGUGUCGAGGUGGGGAUUUGGAUACUGCUUUGAGGAUUUGUAAGGAAAGCAUUGAGAAGGGAUGGGUUCCAAAUUUUGGGACUAUGAAGUCACUGGUGAACGGGCUUUCUCGUGUUGGGAAGGUGGCAGAGGCAAAGGAGCUUGUUGGGCAAAUGAAGGAGAGAUUUACGAAGAAUGUUAAUAUGUGGGAUGAGAUUGAAGCCAGUUUGUCGCAGUAGGGGUGGGGACAUUUAAACUUCGUUUUGUUUUGAUAAGACCAUCAAGGUAAGACUCUGUGAGAAUGUCAUAUUUGCACAAUUAAGAGGAAAUAAGAAUUUUGCAUUAACUUAAUGAGUUAUUGGACGUGUUCAUCAUUGAAUGAAAAUGUUGCCG
This 685-nucleotide unclassified non-coding RNA is filed under the name Hevea brasiliensis (rubber tree). Lineage: Eukaryota; Viridiplantae; Streptophyta; Magnoliopsida; Malpighiales; Euphorbiaceae. The record is from RNAcentral.